RNAcentral lists this ribosomal RNA (693 nucleotides) under Septoria cucubali. RNAcentral's name for it is "partial large subunit ribosomal RNA". It matches the Rfam family "Eukaryotic large subunit ribosomal RNA", at positions 139 to 856 of the family's 3401-position model. The record is from RNAcentral. Lineage: Eukaryota; Fungi; Ascomycota; Dothideomycetes; Mycosphaerellales; Mycosphaerellaceae.
CGAGUUGUAAUUUGUAGAGGAUGCUUCUGGGUAGCGACCGAUCUAAGUUCCUUGGAACAGGACGUCAUAGAGGGUGAGAAUCCCGUAUGUGACCGGCCCGCACCCUUUACGUAGCUCCUUCGACGAGUCGAGUUGUUUGGGAAUGCAGCUCUAAAUGGGAGGUAAAUUUCUUCUAAAGCUAAAUACCGGCCAGAGACCGAUAGCGCACAAGUAGAGUGAUCGAAAGAUGAAAAGUACUUUGGAAAGAGAGUUAAAAAGCACGUGAAAUUGUUGAAAGGGAAGCGCCUGCAACCAGACUUCGUGGCAGUGUUCCGCCGGUCUUCUGACCGGUUUAUUCUCUGUCGCGAGGCCAUCAUCGUCUAGGCCCGCCGGAUAAGACCUUAGGAAUGUAGCUCACCUUCGGGGGAGUGUUAUAGCUUAUGGUGAUGCGGCGAGGCUUGGGCGAGGUCCGCGCUUCGGCAAGGAUGAUGGCGUAAUGGUUGUCGGCGGCCCGUCUUGAAACACGGACCAAGGAGUCUAACAUCUAUGCGAGUGUUCGGGUGUCAAACCCCUACGCGUAAUGAAAGUGAACGGAGGUGGGAACCGCAAGGUGCACCAUCGACCGAUCCUGAUGUCCUCGGAUGGAUUUGAGUAAGAGCAUAGCUGUUGGGACCCGAAAGAUGGUGAACUAUGCCUGAAUAGGGUGAAGCCAGA